AUUGAACGCUGGCGGCAGGCCUAACACAUGCAAGUCGAGCGGAUGAAGUUAGCUUGCUUCUGGAUUCAACGGCGGACGAGUGAGUAAUUCCUAGGAAUCUGCCUGGUAGUGGGGGAUAACGUCCGGAAACGGGCGCUAAUACCGCAUACGUUCUGAGGGAUAAAGUGGGGGUUCUUCUUACCUCACUCUAUUAGCUUAACCUAGGUGGGAUUAGCUAGUUGAUGGGGUAAAGGCAUACCAAGGCGAUGAGCCGUAACUGGUCUGAGAGGCUGAUCGGUCAAAGUGGGAAUGAGACAGGGCCCAAAAUACAACGGGAGGCAGCAGUAGGGAAUAUUAGGCAAUGGACGAAAGUAUGACAGAGCAACGCGGCGUGAGUGAAGAAGGUGUGCGGAUAGUAAAACUCUGUGGGUAGAGAAGAACGUGGGGGAGAGUGGAAAGCUCAUCAAGUGACGGGAAAUACCCAGAAAGGGACGGAUAACUAAGUG
RNAcentral lists this ribosomal RNA (485 nucleotides) under uncultured bacterium. RNAcentral's name for it is "partial 16S ribosomal RNA". It matches the Rfam family "Bacterial small subunit ribosomal RNA", at positions 30 to 507 of the family's 1533-position model. The record is from RNAcentral.